GUAUGCAACGCUGGCGGCAGGUCUAACACAUGACAAGCUCGAGCGGUAACAUUUCUAGCUUGCUAGAAGAUGACGAGCGGCGGACGGGUGAGUAAUGCUUGGGAAUAUGCCUUAGGGUGGGGGACAACAGUUGGAAACGACUGCUAAUACCGCAUAACGUCUACGGACCAAAGGGGGCUUCGGCUCUCGCCCUUAGAUUAGCCCAAGUGGGAUUAGCUAGUUGGUGAGGUAAUGGCUCACCAAGGCGACGAUCCCUAGCUGGUUUGAGAGGAUGAUCAGCCACACUGGAACUGAGACACGGUCCAGACUCCUACGGGAGGCAGCAGUGGGGAAUAUUGCACAAUGGGCGCAAGCCUGAUGCAGCCAUGCCGCGUGUGUGAAGAAGGCCUUAGGGUUGUAAAGCACUUUCAGUAAGGAGGAAAGGUUAGUAGUUAAUACCUGCUAGCUGUGACGUUACUUACAGAAGAAGCACCGGCUAACUCCGUGCCAGCAGCCGCGGUAAUACGGAGGGUGCGAGCGUUAAUCGGAAUUACUGGGCGUAAAGCGUACGCAGGCGGUUUGUUAAGCGAGAUGUGAAAGCCCCGGGCUCAACCUGGGAACUGCAUUUCGAACUGGCAAACUAGAGUAUGAUAGAGGGUGGUAGAAUUUCAGGUGUAGCCGGUGAAAUGCGUAGAGAUCUGAAGGAAUACCGAUGGCGAAGGCAGCCACCUGGGUCAAUACUGACGCUCAUGUACGAAAGCGUGGGGGGCAAACGGGAUUAGAUACCCCGGUAGUCCCC
Molecule: ribosomal RNA, 778 nt
Filed under: Pseudoalteromonadaceae bacterium sw-1-10-15
Lineage: Bacteria; Pseudomonadati; Pseudomonadota; Gammaproteobacteria; Alteromonadales; Pseudoalteromonadaceae
Description: bacterial SSU rRNA
Rfam family: Bacterial small subunit ribosomal RNA
Source: RNAcentral